This 232-nucleotide ribosomal RNA is filed under the name uncultured bacterium. Its description in RNAcentral is "partial 16S ribosomal RNA". It matches the Rfam family "Bacterial small subunit ribosomal RNA", at positions 99 to 334 of the family's 1533-position model. The record is from RNAcentral.
CGGACGGGUGAGUAACGCGUAGGAAUCUGCCUACUAGCGGGGGAUAGCCCGAAGAAAUUCGGAUUAAUACCGCAUAAGCCCUACGGGGGAAAGCUGGGGAUCUUCGGACCUGGCACUAGUAGAUGAGCCUGCGUUAGAUUAGCUUGUUGGUGGGGUAAUGGCUUACCAAGGCGACGAUCUAUAGCUGGUCUGAGAGGACGAUCAGCCACACUGGGACUGAGACACGGCCCAG